UACGUAGGGUGCAAGCGUUAAUCGGAAUUACUGGGCGUAAAGCGUGCGCAGGCGGUUUUGUAAGCCAGAUGUGAAAUCCCCGGGCUCAACCUGGGAACUGCAUUUGGGACUGCAAGGCUUGAGUACGGCAGAGGGGGGUAGAAUUCCUGGUGUAGCAGUGAAAUGCGUAGAUAUCAGGAGGAAUACCGAUGGCGAAGGCAGCCCCCUGGGUCGAUACUGACGCUCAUGCACGAAAGCGUGGGGAGCAAACAGG
RNAcentral lists this ribosomal RNA (253 nucleotides) under uncultured bacterium. Its description in RNAcentral is "partial 16S ribosomal RNA". It matches the Rfam family "Bacterial small subunit ribosomal RNA", at positions 524 to 776 of the family's 1533-position model. The record is from RNAcentral.